RNAcentral lists this ribosomal RNA (705 nucleotides) under uncultured Acetobacterium sp. Its description in RNAcentral is "bacterial SSU rRNA". It matches the Rfam family "Bacterial small subunit ribosomal RNA", at positions 66 to 770 of the family's 1533-position model. Lineage: Bacteria; Bacillati; Bacillota; Clostridia; Eubacteriales; Eubacteriaceae. The record is from RNAcentral.
ACGAGACGGGAUGGAAUGACCCUUCGGGGGAAUGAAAUCCUAGAAAGUGGCGAACGGGUGAGUAACGCGUGGGUAACCUGCCCUAUGGAAAGGAAUAGCCUCGGGAAACUGGGAGUAAUGCCUUAUAAUAUACGAGAGUCGCAUGGCUUUUGUAUUAAACGCUCCGGUGCCAUAGGAUGGACCCGCGUCCCAUUAGCUAGUUGGUGAGAUAACAGCCCACCAAGGCAACGAUGGGUAACCGGUCUGAGAGGGCGAACGGUCACACUGGAACUGAGACACGGUCCAGACUCCUACGGGAGGCAGCAGUGGGGAAUAUUGCGCAAUGGGGGCAACCCUGACGCAGCAAUACCGCGUGAGUGAAGAAGGUUUUCGGAUCGUAAAGCUCUGUUAUUGGGGAAGAAAAAAGACGGUACCCAAGAAGAAAGUCCCGGCUAACUACGUGCCAGCAGCCGCGGUAAUACGUAGGGGACAAGCGUUGUCCGGAUUUACUGGGCGUAAAGGGCACGCAGGCGGUUUUUUAAGUCAGAUGUGAAAGGUACCGGCUCAACCGGUGACAUGCAUUUGAAACUGAAAGACUUGAGUAUUGGAGAGGCAAGUGGAAUUCCUAGUGUAGCGGUGAAAUGCGUAGAUAUUAGGAGGAACACCGGUGGCGAAGGCGGCUUGCUGGACAAAUACUGACGCUGAGGUGCGAAAGCGUGGGGAGCA